Molecule: long non-coding RNA, 778 nt
Organism: Anolis carolinensis (green anole)
Lineage: Eukaryota; Metazoa; Chordata; Lepidosauria; Squamata; Anolidae
Exons: 2
Source: RefSeq, a predicted model, not a curated record
CGUAGCAUAACUACCCUGGCAGACAUGUAGGACCUCAGCCUAUGUCUUAGUUUUUUUUAAAAACUACUUCACAUUCUAUCUUUCUAACAGAACCCCUGAGCCAGCCAUCAGAUAAAAGACCUGGAAGAGUUAAGCAAACUUAAAUUUAUCCCAGUAAAAUAGAAAUAUACUAGUUUGUCAGGACCCAGUUUUCAGGGCCUGGAUUCUGGUGCCAGAAAUCAGAGCCACUGAUAUUCCAGACUGAUAAGGCACCUGCAACGCUUGACCCUGAGAGGAAACGGCUACCAGAUUUGGCAGGUUAAUCGUUUGGGAAUUCUCUUAAAAGAUGUUGCUUCUUCCAUGCUCAAGCAGUAGCAGUGAUGAAAGAGUUACGUGUGUGAUUCCAGUUCAUGGUGCUAUUUCCUACCAUUUAAAGGCCUAAAAUAGCUUGGAAUUUGGGACACCUUAAGGCAGGAGUGAGCAACUGGCAGGGGGCUGAUCCUCUGAAGAACUUCUGAGGAUCUGGAAGGCUGAGCCCUUCCUCUCUUUGACUGGAAAUUGCAGCCUUUUCCUUGAAACACUAGGAGGAGAUGAGCUACCAACAAUCUCUAGAACAAUGCUUUUCGUUAUUGAAAACACUUGCAUGGACCAAGGUCACCCUCCCCUCCAAUUGUCUCAACUACACGUCUGUGAAAUAAAAGCAAGCUGUUGAGUGAUAGAAUUAUCUUUUCGGCCUGAGCACCCAAAACAUCAUUUUUGGACAGUUCUGUAAUAAUAGACCACUGCAAUUCAACAUUCC